This 443-nucleotide ribosomal RNA is filed under the name uncultured bacterium. Its description in RNAcentral is "partial 16S ribosomal RNA". It matches the Rfam family "Bacterial small subunit ribosomal RNA", at positions 338 to 795 of the family's 1533-position model. The record is from RNAcentral.
CCUACGGGGGGCAGCAGUGGGGAAUAUUGGACAAUGGGGGGAACCCUGAUCCAGCGACGCCGCGUGAGUGAAGAAGUAUUUAGGUAUGUAAAGCUCUAUCAGCAGGGAAGAAAGAAAUGACGGUACCUGCCUAAGAAGCCCCGGCUAACUACGUGCCAGCAGCCGCGGUAAUACGGAGGGGGCAAGCGUUAUCCGGAUUUACGGGGUGUAAAGGGAGCGUAGAUGGCGAUGCAAGUCUGAAGUGAAAGGCGGGGGCUCAACCCCCGGACUGCUUUGGACACUGUCUGGCUGGAGUGCAGGAGAGGUAAGUGGAAUUCGUAGUGUAGCGGUGAAAUGCGUAGAUAUUAGGAAGAACACCAGUGGCGAAGGCAGCUUACUGGACUGUAACUGACGUUGAGGCUCGAAAGCGUGGGGAGCAAACAGGAUUAGAUACCCCAGUAGUC